AUCCUGGAUAGCUCAGUUGGUUAGAGCAUGGUGCUGAUAAUGUCAUGGUUGCAAGUUUGAUCCCUAUAUAGGACA
This 75-nucleotide transfer RNA is filed under the name Podarcis lilfordi (Lilford's wall lizard). RNAcentral's name for it is "tRNA.Ile". Lineage: Eukaryota; Metazoa; Chordata; Lepidosauria; Squamata; Lacertidae. The record is from RNAcentral.